AUUGACUUUAUUUGCGCAGCAUAGGUGGGAGGCAUUGAGUUUAUUCUUGCGGGAAUUUAGGAGCCAUCAGAGAGAUACCACUCUGGUAAUGUUAGAUUUCUAACUUUGUAUCAUGAUCUGGUCAAAGAACAGUUUCAGGCGGGCAGUUUGACCGGGGCGGUCGCCUCCCAAAUGGUAACGGAGGCGUACAAAGGUUUCCUCUGAACGUGUAGAAAUCGUAUCUAGAGUGUAAAGGCAUAAGGAAGCUUGACUGUGAGACCUACAAGUCGAGCAGGGACGAAAGUCGGUCUUAGUGAUCUGACGGUGCUGAGUGGAAAGGCCGUCACUCAACGGAUAAAAGUUACUCUAGGGAUAACAGGCUGAA
RNAcentral lists this ribosomal RNA (364 nucleotides) under uncultured eukaryote. RNAcentral's name for it is "LSU rRNA". It matches the Rfam family "Bacterial large subunit ribosomal RNA", at positions 2123 to 2486 of the family's 2925-position model. The record is from RNAcentral.